AGCUGGUCCAGUGGUGUUGAGUUAUCAGAACUUGUUAACAUUAGUGUCACUAAACUUGAUAUGCAACUCCCUACUGCUAAAGUUAACUGGCUUAAA
This 96-nucleotide non-coding RNA is filed under the name Pongo abelii (Sumatran orangutan). The record is from RNAcentral. Lineage: Eukaryota; Metazoa; Chordata; Mammalia; Primates; Hominidae.